This 532-nucleotide ribosomal RNA is filed under the name Fusarium proliferatum. RNAcentral describes it as "eukaryotic LSU rRNA". It matches the Rfam family "Eukaryotic large subunit ribosomal RNA", at positions 81 to 636 of the family's 3401-position model. The record is from RNAcentral. Lineage: Eukaryota; Fungi; Ascomycota; Sordariomycetes; Hypocreales; Nectriaceae.
UAGUAACGGCGAGUGAAGCGGCAACAGCUCAAAUUUGAAAUCUGGCUCUCGGGCCCGAGUUGUAAUUUGUAGAGGAUACUUUUGAUGCGGUGCCUUCCGAGUUCCCUGGAACGGGACGCCAUAGAGGGUGAGAGCCCCGUCUGGUUGGAUGCCAAAUCUCUGUAAAGUUCCUUCGACGAGUCGAGUAGUUUGGGAAUGCUGCUCUAAAUGGGAGGUAUAUGUCUUCUAAAGCUAAAUACCGGCCAGAGACCGAUAGCGCACAAGUAGAGUGAUCGAAAGAUGAAAAGCACUUUGAAAAGAGAGUUAAAAAGUACGUGAAAUUGUUGAAAGGGAAGCGUUUAUGACCAGACUUGGGCUUGGUUAAUCAUCUGGGGUUCUCCCCAGUGCACUUUUCCAGUCCAGGCCAGCAUCAGUUUUCCCCGGGGGAUAAAGACUUCGGGAAUGUGGCUCUCUUCGGGGAGUGUUAUAGCCCGUUGUGUAAUACCCUGGGGGGGACUGAGGUUCGCGCAUCUGCAAGGAUGCUGGAGUAAUG